Molecule: small RNA, 328 nt
Filed under: Vigna angularis var. angularis
Lineage: Eukaryota; Viridiplantae; Streptophyta; Magnoliopsida; Fabales; Fabaceae
Description: Non-protein coding transcript
Source: RNAcentral
CUUGGAGAGCCUUUAAGCUCCUUCGUUUUGUCCCCACCACGUAAUCCUUACAAAGAGUGAGAAUUAUUCUGACCCACAGAACUGCACUCUUUGUUCUUUAAUAACUGGCAGAAAUAAUAUUCCCACUAGCACACUGCUGCUACCAUCUGUGGCAUCUCCCAAACCAGAGCUCAGAUUGUUGCAGAAAAAGGCUGUCGUUGAAUUCUACUCUUGUUGUGUUGCAUUGGUCAGAGGGUAUAUUCAGUGAAUGACAGUUAUUCUUUUUAUUUUUUCCUCAAAACAGAGACAACCUUCUAUCCGAGUUGUCAAAAUAUAUUUCAUACCAUCA